RNAcentral lists this ribosomal RNA (490 nucleotides) under uncultured bacterium. RNAcentral describes it as "partial 16S ribosomal RNA". It matches the Rfam family "Bacterial small subunit ribosomal RNA", at positions 29 to 507 of the family's 1533-position model. The record is from RNAcentral.
AGUGAACGCUGGCGGCAGGCCUAACACAUGCAAGUCGAACGGCGGCACAAGAGAGCUUGCUCUCUGGGUGGCGAGUGGCGGACGGGUGAGGAAUGCAUCGGAAUCUGCCCAUUUGUGGGGGAUAACCUCGGGAAACCGGGACUAAUACCGCAUACGACCUACGGGUGAAAGCAGGGGAUCUUCGGACCUUGCGCAGAUGGAUGAGCCGAUGCCGGAUUAGCUAGUUGGAGGGGUAAAGGCCCACCAAGGCGACGAUCCGUAGCUGGUCUGAGAGGAUGAUCGGCCACACUGGGAGUGAGACACGGCCCCGACUCCUACGGGAGGCAGCAGUGGGGAAUAUUGGACAACGGGCGCAAGCCUGAUCCAGCCAUGCCGCGUGUGUGAAGAAGGCCUUCGGGUUGUAAAGCACUUUUGUUGGGAAAGAAAAGCAGCCGGUUAAUACCCGGUUGUCAUGACGGUACCCAAAGAAUAAGCACCGGCUAACUUCGUG